This 399-nucleotide ribosomal RNA is filed under the name uncultured Sphingobacteriales bacterium. Its description in RNAcentral is "bacterial SSU rRNA". It matches the Rfam family "Bacterial small subunit ribosomal RNA", at positions 981 to 1382 of the family's 1533-position model. Lineage: Bacteria; Pseudomonadati; Bacteroidota; Sphingobacteriia; Sphingobacteriales. The record is from RNAcentral.
UCAAAUGUAUGUUGACGUAUUCUGAAAGGGAUACUUCUUCGGACAAUAUACAAGGUGCUGCAUGGUUGUCGUCAGCUCGUGCCGUGAGGUGUCGGGUUAAGUCCCAUAACGAGCGCAACCCCUAUCAUUAGUUGCCAUCAGGUCAAGCUGGGGACUCUAAUGAAACUGCCUACGCAAGUAGUGAGGAAGGUGGGGAUGACGUCAAAUCAGCACGGCCCUUACGUCCAGGGCUACACACGUGCUACAAUGGCCGGUACAAAGGGCAGCUACCUGGUGACAGGAUGCUAAUCUCAAAAGCCGGUCUCAGUUCGGAUCGGAGUCUGCAACCCGACUCCGUGAAGUUGGAUUCGCUAGUAAUCGCGCAUCAGCCAUGGCGCGGUGAAUACGUUCCCGGGCCUU